This 550-nucleotide ribosomal RNA is filed under the name uncultured bacterium. RNAcentral describes it as "bacterial SSU rRNA". It matches the Rfam family "Bacterial small subunit ribosomal RNA", at positions 777 to 1327 of the family's 1533-position model. The record is from RNAcentral.
AAUAGAUACCCUGUAGUCCACGCCGUAAACGAUGAGUGCUAAGUGUUAGGGGGUUUCCGCCCCUUAGUGCUGCAGCUAACGCAUUAAGCACUCCGCCUGGGGAGUACGGUCGCAAGACUGAAACUCAAAGGAAUUGACGGGGGCCCGCACAAGCGGUGGAGCAUGUGGUUUAAUUCGAAGCAACGCGAAGAACCUUACCAGGUCUUGACAUCCCAUUGACCACUAUGGAGACAUAGUUUUCCCUUCGGGGACAACGGUGGCAGGUGGUGCAUGGUUGUCGUCAGCUCGUGUCGUGAGAUGUUGGGUUAAGUCCCGCAACGAGCGCAACCCUUGUUCUUAGUUGCCAUCAUUUAGUUGGGCACUCUAAGGAGACUGCCGGUGACAAACCGGAGGAAGGUGGGGAUGACGUCAAAUCAUCAUGCCCCUUAUGACCUGGGCUACACACGUGCUACAAUGGACGGUACAAACGGUUGCCAACCCGCGGGGGGAGCUAAUCCGAUAAAACCGUUCUCAGUUCGGAUUGUAGGCUGCAACUCGCCUACAUGAAGCC